GUCAAAAGGUCAGUGACAGCCAAGGAUUUGGAAGCGGGGAAUGAAGGAUGAAAAAAAUUUGUUAAAAAAAGAAGACAGGCUACAAUACAAAGUUAGUGGGGAAGAAAAUUCUAGUUGUUGGCAAUCAUAGGAACCAAGGCACAAUAUGUGAAAAGGCAAAGCCUACUUCUGCCAGGACAGCAGUGAAAAAGAAGCUAACAACCCCAACCAGAAAUGGUCCCGAUGAUCCUUCCAGGAUGGGAUGUCCUGGCCAGGGACACAGCAUGACAUCGCCAGCAGGAAGUAGGUAGGAAUUGAGUGGCGAAUAUGCUAGUGUGGAUUAUUGCCAUAAUUGCUUUCUGGAAAACAACAAAUUUUAUUCCCAGUAAAAUGCCAUAAGAAUUUGCCAGGUCCUCUGAUGGGGAAAAUAAAAUGCCCUUCCUAGAAAUUUCA
This 432-nucleotide long non-coding RNA is filed under the name Vulpes vulpes (red fox). Its description in RNAcentral is "lncRNA (ENSVVUG00000028356.1)". Lineage: Eukaryota; Metazoa; Chordata; Mammalia; Carnivora; Canidae. The record is from RNAcentral.